UGGGGAAUAUUGCACAAUGGGCGCAAGCCUGAUGCAGCCAUGCCGCGUGUGUGAAGAAGGCCUUCGGGUUGUAAAGCACUUUCAGCGAGGAGGAAGGUGGUGAGCUUAAUACGCUCAUCAAUUGACGUUACUCGCAGAAGAAGCACCGGCUAACUCCGUGCCAGCAGCCGCGGUAAUACGGAGGGUGCAAGCGUUAAUCGGAAUUACUGGGCGUAAAGCGCACGCAGGCGGUUUGUUAAGUCAGAUGUGAAAUCCCCGGGCUCAACCUGGGAACUGCAUUUGAAACUGGCAAGCUAGAGUCUCGUAGAGGGGGUAGAAUUCCAGGUGUAGCGGUGAAAUGCGUAGAGAUCUGGAGGAAUACCGGUGGCGAAGGCGGCCCCCUGGACGAAGACUGACGCUCAGGUGCGAAAGCGUGGGGAGCAAACAGAUUAGAUACCCUGGUAGUCCACGCUGUAAACGAUGUCGAUUUUGGAGGUUAUGCCCUUGAGGCGU
RNAcentral lists this ribosomal RNA (492 nucleotides) under uncultured bacterium. RNAcentral's name for it is "partial 16S ribosomal RNA". It matches the Rfam family "Bacterial small subunit ribosomal RNA", at positions 355 to 840 of the family's 1533-position model. The record is from RNAcentral.